Molecule: long non-coding RNA, 988 nt
Organism: Sinocyclocheilus grahami
Lineage: Eukaryota; Metazoa; Chordata; Actinopteri; Cypriniformes; Cyprinidae
Exons: 2
Source: RefSeq, a predicted model, not a curated record
CGUUACACUCUGUUUAUGUCUAUGACGAAUCACACAGCAGGUCUCGCAACGCCGCUGGAUCCGGUUCCUGCCAUUCUGACGAGGAAGAACCACCAUCCUGGUACAAAACCUUCCUGAAACGUGUCCUCUGGGCCGCACUCCCGCUGCAGAUCUUCCUGCUGCUGGUGCUGGUGGUGGCCUGUCUUGUGCCUACGUCUGAGGACCACUGCAGCUGUGCCCAACUCAACAAUUUCACCCACUCCUUACACCCAAUGCUCAGCUACACCAAGGGGCCUCCGCCUAUGUGAGCUCCACUUUGAAGUCAAGACGGCAGCUCAGCGUCAGGUUUCCCUCUAAAUUGACAACUGCCGUUGAGUUUGGCAGCCAUUAUCGUGUCCUUGUACAGCAAAUACAGCUGCUAAUUUUACAGUAUGUCACUCUGAGUCUCGUGUAGAUGUUAGAACGAAGCCUAUUGCACUGAAAACUGCUGUCAGAUAAGUGUCGUUAGUGCUACUGAUGUUCUUCCAUGUUUGAUGUGAAGGAGGAAACUAGAGCGUAGGAUAUUAACUCACUGUGAGUUAAUCAGGUCUUUUUUAAUCAUGGAAAGAUCAAGUUUAUUGCGAAAAAACUGAAAGGUGUUGGGUUGCUUGUAUCAAAUGAAUAACUUGUAAAAAAGAGAAGAUAAAACAUUUAUGAACUCUAUAUUGCAAUUAUUUUUUUUAUAUGUAUUUUUUGCAUGUGUUCAUCCUUUGGUUUUAAAACAAUCGUUGAUUUUAUUGGAUUAGUCAUUGUUUAUUUUUUCAUUUUUGAUCUUAACUAACCUGCUGUAAUAUUCAAGGUAACUGUGUCAUGAAUAUACUUUACUGAAUGCAAACCACUGAUAUCAAAGAAAAGGAUAUUUAUGUAUGUACAUAAGUACUUACCUAAGAAACCUUCGCAAUGAAAAUACACCUAUGAUAUACACAUAACCUGUUGAUAAGGAUUUUUCAUUACAAUUAAAGACUGAAUG